Spinacia oleracea (spinach) is the source of this 381-nucleotide long non-coding RNA. RefSeq lists it as uncharacterized. The transcript has 2 exons. The record is from RefSeq and is a predicted model, not a curated record. Lineage: Eukaryota; Viridiplantae; Streptophyta; Magnoliopsida; Caryophyllales; Amaranthaceae.
GUAGAAAAGGCUAAAACUACGAAAUCAGGUGUUUAUCUCACCUUUGUAAGCUCAAAUUAAAAGAUCAUCCCAUUCUCCAUCGACCUUUUCUUCCAUCCUUGUACAUAAACAUAGCCCCAUUUCCCUCCUGCUACAUUUGAGGCCGAAGACCCGAAGUCUCUUGAACACAAAGUAGCCCAACUUUUAACACUUCGCUAGCCUCUUCUUCAGGGUAAUCUCCAUCAAGUGACGGGUCCAUCAGCUGUUGAAGGUUUUUAGCUUUGUACACUUUCCAUACCUAAAUCAAACAACUCUGUAUUACUAUCUACAGAUGUCUUUUAUUUCGGUUUUUAUUGGAUUGAAUGCAAGAUAAUAAUAAUAAUAAUAAUACAUUACCUUUUU